This 429-nucleotide ribosomal RNA is filed under the name uncultured bacterium. Its description in RNAcentral is "bacterial SSU rRNA". It matches the Rfam family "Bacterial small subunit ribosomal RNA", at positions 355 to 775 of the family's 1533-position model. The record is from RNAcentral.
UGGGGAAUAUUGGGCAAUGGGCGAAAGCCUGACCCAGCCACGCCGCGUGAGUGAUGAAGGCCUUCGGGUCGUAAAGCUCUGUGGGGAGGGACGAAUAAGUCUGCGAUUAACACUCGCGGGCCCUGACGGUACCUCCUUAGCAAGCACCGGCUAACCAUGUGCCAGCAGCCGCGGUAAUACAUGGGGUGCAAACGUUGCUCGGAAUUAUUGGGCGUAAAGCGCACGUAGGCGGUCAUCUAAGUCGGAUGUGAAAGCCCUCGGCUUAACCGAGGAAGUGCACCCGAAACUGGAUGGCUUGAGUACUGAAGAGGGUCGCGGAAUUCCCGGUGUAGAGGUGAAAUUCGUAGAUAUCGGGAGGAACACCGGUGGCGAAGGCGGCGACCUGGGCAGAUACUGACGCUGAGGUGCGAAAGCGUGGGGAGCAAACAG